Molecule: ribosomal RNA, 468 nt
Filed under: uncultured bacterium
Lineage: Bacteria
Description: partial 16S ribosomal RNA
Rfam family: Bacterial small subunit ribosomal RNA
Source: RNAcentral
GACGAACGCUGGCGGCGUGCUUAACACAUGCAAGUCGAACGGAAAGGCCCUGCUUUUGUGGGGUGCUCGAGUGGCGAACGGGUGAGUAACACGUGAUUAACCUGCCCUUGACUUUGGGAUAACUUCAGGAAACUGGGGCUAAUACCGGAUAGGAGCUCCUGCUGCAUGGUGGGGGUUGGAAAGUUUCGGCGGUUGGGGAUGGACUCGCGGCUUAUCAGCUUGUUGGUGGGGUAGUGGCUUACCAAGGCUUUGACGGGUAGCCGGCCUGAGAGGGUGACCGGCCACAUUGGGACUGAGAUACGGCCCAGACUCCUACGGGAGGCAGCAGUGGGGAAUAUUGCACAAUGGGCGGAAGCCUGAUGCAGCAACGCCGCGUGCGGGAUGACGGCCUUCGGGUUGUAAACCGCUUUCGCCUGUGACGAAGAGUGAGUGACGGUAAUGGGUAAAGAAGCACCGGCUAACUACGUG